GAUGAACGCUAGCUACAGGCUUAACACAUGCAAGUCGAGGGGCAGCAUGGAAGAAGCUUGCUUCUUCUGAUGGCGACCGGCGCACGGGUGCGUAACGCGUAUCAAACCUGCCUCAUACUCGGGGAUAGCCUUGCGAAAGUAAGAUUAAUACCCGAUGUUGUUGCUUUCUCGCAUGGGAGAGUAACCAAAGAUUUAUCGGUAUGAGAUGGUGAUGCGUCCGAUUAGGUAGUAGGCGGGGUAACGGCCCACCUAGCCUUCGAUCGGUAGGGGUUCUGAGAGGAAGGUCCCCCACACUGGAACUGAGACACGGUCCAGACUCCUACGGGAGGCAGCAGUGAGGAAUAUUGGUCAAUGGGCGAGAGCCUGAACCAGCCAAGUAGCGUGCAGGAUGACGGCCCUCCGGGUUGUAAACUGCUUUUAGUUGGGAAUAAAAAAAGGGACUUGUCCCUUCUUGUAUGUACCUUCAGAAAAAGGACCGGCUAAUUCCGUGCCAGCAGCCGCGGUAAUACGGAAGGUCCAGGCGUUAUCCGGAUUUAUUGGGUUUAAAGGGAGCGUAGGCGGAUUGUUAAGUCAGCGGUUAAAGGGUGUGGCUCAACCAUGCAUUGCCGUUGAAACUGGCGAUCUUGAGUGCAGACAGGGAUGCCGGAAUUCGUGGUGUAGCGGUGAAAUGCUUAGAUAUCACGGAGAACUCCGAUCGCGAAGGCAGGUGUCCGGGCUGCAACUGACGCUGAGGCUCGAAAGUGUGGGUAUCAAACAGG
RNAcentral lists this ribosomal RNA (758 nucleotides) under uncultured Prevotella sp. Its description in RNAcentral is "bacterial SSU rRNA". It matches the Rfam family "Bacterial small subunit ribosomal RNA", at positions 28 to 776 of the family's 1533-position model. The record is from RNAcentral. Lineage: Bacteria; Pseudomonadati; Bacteroidota; Bacteroidia; Bacteroidales; Prevotellaceae.